Molecule: ribosomal RNA, 723 nt
Filed under: Triticum aestivum (bread wheat)
Lineage: Eukaryota; Viridiplantae; Streptophyta; Magnoliopsida; Poales; Poaceae
Description: partial small subunit ribosomal RNA
Source: RNAcentral
GAUGACUUCCCGAUUAAGAUAGGACUGCAUCAGGGGUCAGCUUUGAGCCCUUAUCUUUUUGCACUGGUGAUGGAUGAGGUCACAAGGGAUAUACAAGGAGAUAUCCCAUGGUGUAUGCUCUUUGCGGAUGAUGUGGUGCUAGUUGACGAUAGUCGGACGGGGGUAAAUAGGAAGUUAGAGUUACGGAGACGAACCUUGGAAUCGAAAGGGUUUAGGCUUAGUAGAACUAAAACCGAGUACAUGAUGCGUGGUUUCAGUACUACUAGGUGUGAGGAGGAGGAGGUUAGCCUUGAUGGCCAAGUGGUACCUCGGAAGGACACCUUUCGGUAUUUGGGGUCAAUGUUACAGGAGGAUGGGGGUAUUGAUGAAGAUGUGAACCAUCGAAUCAAAGCCGGAUGGAUGAAGUGGCGCCAAGCUUCUGGCAUUCUCUAUGACAAGAGAGUGCCACAAAAGCUAAAAGGCAAGUUCUACAGGACGACGGUUCGACCCUCAAUGUUGUAUGGCGCGGAGUGUUGGCCGACUAAAAGGCGACAUGUUCAACAGUUAGGUGUGACGGAGAUGCGUAUGUUGAGAUGGAUGUGUGACCACACGAGGAAGGAUCGAGUCCGGAAUGAUGAUAUACGAGAUAGAGUUGGGGUAGCACCAAUUGAGGAGAAGCUUGUCCAACAUCGUCUGAGAUGGUUUGGGCAUAUUCAGCGCAGGCCUCCAGAAGCUCCAGUGCAU